This 76-nucleotide transfer RNA is filed under the name Marinilabiliales bacterium. RNAcentral's name for it is "tRNA-Met". It matches the Rfam family "tRNA". From Rfam's summary of the family: Transfer RNA (tRNA) molecules are approximately 80 nucleotides in length. Their secondary structure includes four short double-helical elements and three loops (D, anti-codon, and T loops). The record is from RNAcentral. Lineage: Bacteria; Pseudomonadati; Bacteroidota; Bacteroidia; Marinilabiliales.
UGCGGGGUAGAGCAGUUGGUAGCUCGUCGGGCUCAUAACCCGGAGGUCGCAGGUUCGAGUCCUGUCUCCGCUACUA